Molecule: non-coding RNA, 54 nt
Organism: Salmo salar (Atlantic salmon)
Lineage: Eukaryota; Metazoa; Chordata; Actinopteri; Salmoniformes; Salmonidae
Source: Rfam
UGCAUUCACUACUGUAAGUCGCUCUGGAUAAGAGCCUCUGUUAAAUGACUAAAA